UACGUAGGGGGCAAGCGUUAUCCGGAUUUACUGGGUGUAAAGGGAGCGUAGACGGCGAUGCAAGCCAGAUGUGAAAGCCCGGGGCUCAACCCCGGGACUGCAUUUGGAACUGUAUAGCUAGAGUGUCGGAGAGGCAGGCGGAAUUCCUAGUGUAGCGGUGAAAUGCGUAGAUAUUAGGAGGAACACCAGUGGCGAAGGCAGCUUACCAGACUGUAACUGACGCUGAAGCACGAGAGCGUGGGUAGCAAACAGG
Molecule: ribosomal RNA, 253 nt
Filed under: uncultured Blautia sp.
Lineage: Bacteria; Bacillati; Bacillota; Clostridia; Lachnospirales; Lachnospiraceae
Description: partial 16S ribosomal RNA
Rfam family: Bacterial small subunit ribosomal RNA
Source: RNAcentral